AAAGCACAUGCGUGCAGGGCUGCACUGAACGGAGGCGGAGGAGGCGGCUCCGAGGGAGCAGCUGAUCCUGAAACAGCAGUGGAUCCCUGGGAGAGCAGCACAGAUAAAGAUCCAGUCAAUAAUGAUGCUUCCUCCUCUUGGACAGCCUUUUACAGUUCUGGCCAUGGAACUUCAGAGAAGACAUUUUUUCCAUUGCGCACACACUUUUGAAAAUUGGAUUAUAUGGCUGCAUAAUAUCUCUUCCUAUGGAUGGAGCAGAAUCUACUUAAUCAAUGUUCUAUUACUGGAUGAUGACGUAGUUCUCCAUACGUCACCGUUAAACCAGCGCCUGGAUGGGCAUCUCUUUACUCACAUCUUUGCAGAAGUCCUUGAUGGUUUCCGUGGAAUCGAUUCCCAGUGGGGGAAAUGAUGAGUCAAGGUUACAUACAGCUUAAGGCCUCUGCAGAUCAACUCUUCAAAUUAUUCAAAUGACCCAUAUGAGAAACAGAGAAAAGCCAAGUAUUUCUGGUUGAAACGGAGAAGCUGGGCUGGAGUGCGCCUCCCUCCAACUCCCCGCUUUAACUCCCUAAGG
This 571-nucleotide small RNA is filed under the name Pan troglodytes (chimpanzee). RNAcentral's name for it is "processed transcript". The record is from RNAcentral. Lineage: Eukaryota; Metazoa; Chordata; Mammalia; Primates; Hominidae.